This 336-nucleotide ribosomal RNA is filed under the name uncultured Ochrobactrum sp. RNAcentral's name for it is "bacterial SSU rRNA". It matches the Rfam family "Bacterial small subunit ribosomal RNA", at positions 1045 to 1382 of the family's 1533-position model. Lineage: Bacteria; Pseudomonadati; Pseudomonadota; Alphaproteobacteria; Hyphomicrobiales; Brucellaceae. The record is from RNAcentral.
AUGGCUGUCGUCAGCUCGUGUCGUGAGAUGUUGGGUUAAGUCCCGCAACGAGCGCAACCCUCGCCCUUAGUUGCCAGCAUUUAGCUGGGCACUCUAAGGGGACUGCCGGUGAUAAGCCGAGAGGAAGGUGGGGAUGACGUCAAGUCCUCAUGGCCCUUACGGGCUGGGCUACACACGUGCUACAAUGGUGGUGACAGUGGGCAGCGAGCACGCGAGUGUGAGCUAAUCUCCAAAAGCCAUCUCAGUUCGGAUUGCACUCUGCAACUCGAGUGCAUGAAGUUGGAAUCGCUAGUAAUCGCGGAUCAGCAUGCCGCGGUGAAUACGUACCCGGGCCUU